This 478-nucleotide ribosomal RNA is filed under the name uncultured bacterium. RNAcentral's name for it is "bacterial SSU rRNA". It matches the Rfam family "Bacterial small subunit ribosomal RNA", at positions 30 to 524 of the family's 1533-position model. The record is from RNAcentral.
AUUGAACGCUGGCGGCAUGCCUUACACAUGCAAGUCGAACGGCAGCACGGGAGCUUGCUCCUGGUGGCGAGUGGCGAACGGGUGAGUAAUGCAUCGGAACGUGCCCUGAAGUGGGGGAUAACGUAGCGAAAGCUACGCUAAUACCGCAUAUUCUGUGAGCAGGAAAGCAGGGGAUCUUCGGACCUUGCGCUUUUGGAGCGGCCGAUGUCGGAUUAGCUAGUUGGUGGGGUAAAGGCCCACCAAGGCGACGAUCCGUAGCGGGUCUGAGAGGAUGAUCCGCCACACUGGAACUGAGACACGGUCCAGACUCCUACGGGAGGCAGCAGUGGGGAAUUUUGGACAAUGGGCGCAAGCCUGAUCCAGCCAUGCCGCGUGAGUGAAGAAGGCUUUCGGGUUGUAAAGCCCUUUUGGCAGGGACGAUGAUGACGGUACCUGCAGAAUAAGCUCUGGCUAACUUCGUGCCAGCAGCCGCGGUAAU